UACGUAGGGUGCGAGCGUUGUCCGGAAUUAUGUGGCGUAAAGAGCUCGUAGGUGGUUUGUCGCGUUGUUCGUGAAAACCUGAGGCUUAACCUUGGGCGUGCGGGCGAUACGGGCAGACUGGAGUACUGCAGGGGAGAAUGGAAUUCCCGGUGUAGCGGUGAAAUGCGCAGAUAUCGGGAGGAACACCGGUGGCGAAGGCGGUUCUCUGGGCCUUACCUGACACUGAGGAGCGAAAGCGUGGGGAGCGAACAGG
RNAcentral lists this ribosomal RNA (253 nucleotides) under uncultured bacterium. Its description in RNAcentral is "partial 16S ribosomal RNA". It matches the Rfam family "Bacterial small subunit ribosomal RNA", at positions 524 to 776 of the family's 1533-position model. The record is from RNAcentral.